This 467-nucleotide ribosomal RNA is filed under the name uncultured bacterium. RNAcentral's name for it is "partial 16S ribosomal RNA". It matches the Rfam family "Bacterial small subunit ribosomal RNA", at positions 28 to 506 of the family's 1533-position model. The record is from RNAcentral.
GACGAACGCUGGCGGCGUGCUUAACACAUGCAAGUCGAACGGAAAGGCCCUGCUUUUGUGGGGUGCUCGAGUGGCGAACGGGUGAGUAACACGUGAGUAACCUGCCCUUGACUUUGGGAUAACUUCAGGAAACUGGGGCUAAUACCGGAUAGGAUCUCUUGCUCCAUGUGGGGGGUUGGAAAGUUUCGGCGUUGGGGUAUGUAGUCGCGGCUUAUCAUCUUGUUGGUGGGGUAGUGGCUUACCAAGCCUUGGACGGUUAGCCGGCCUGGGAGGGAGACGGGCCACAUGGGGACUGAGAUACGGCCCAGACUGCAACGGGAGGCAGGAGUGGGGAAUAUUGCACAAUGGGCGGAAGCAUGAUGCAGCAACGCCGCGUGGGGGAUGACGGCCUUCGGGUUGUAAACAGCUUGCGCCUGUGACGAAGCGUGAGUGACGGUAAUGGGUAAAGAAGCACCGGCUAACUACGU